Molecule: long non-coding RNA, 538 nt
Filed under: Mustela putorius furo (domestic ferret)
Lineage: Eukaryota; Metazoa; Chordata; Mammalia; Carnivora; Mustelidae
Description: lncRNA (ENSMPUG00000024228.1)
Source: RNAcentral
ACUGGACAAGAAUGCUGAAAUCGCAGCGCAGGAUCCUGUGGGAGCCAUUCUCACCUUUGCUGCUGGAACUUUCUCACACUUGUCUUUUGCUGUGAGUUUUCUUAUAAACUCAACCUAUUGGGCGCUUGUAUUUCCAGGAUUUCUCAUGAUUUCUUAUCUAUUACAGGAGUUGUCUUCUUUUUAUCCUUCAGCAUGGCCAAAUAUCCUUUAAAAUGUGUUUUCUGUAUUUCUAUGGGUUUUAUGUGAGAAAGACAUUAUAAUGUCUUGAAAUGAAAGUUCAUCGUUUCCAUUUCUAGACUUCAGUACUGCAGUGAAGAGAUUAGUAGAUCCUCUUCAUAAAUGGUGUUGGAAUGAAGGAGAGCCAGGAUUCCCACCUGCUGUAGAGACAAAUGGUGCUGUAUUGAGCUGUUCUUGUGGACUGUGCCUGGGGAGUGGCAGAAAAACUCAAGAAACAAUUCUCUGCCUUGUCCUUUUCACCUGUGUCAUCUCCUUUACUCAUACUCCCUGAGAACAACAGGAAGGAAACAAAACGGAACAG